Molecule: ribosomal RNA, 450 nt
Filed under: uncultured bacterium
Lineage: Bacteria
Description: partial 16S ribosomal RNA
Rfam family: Bacterial small subunit ribosomal RNA
Source: RNAcentral
CCUACGGGUGGCUGCAGUAAGGAAUAUUGGUCAAUGGACGCAAGUCUGAACCAGCCAUGCCGCGUGGAGGAUGAAGGUCCUCUGGAUUGUAAACUUCUUUUAUUUGGGAAGAAACUCCCGAUUUCCAUCGGGAUUGACGGUACCAGGUGAAUAAGCACCGGCUAACUCCGAGCCAGCAGCCGCGGUAAUACGGAGGGUGCAAGCGUUAUCCGGAUUAAAGGGGUCUUAGGUGUGCAGGUAAGGGCGUGUUGAAAUCUACGGGCUUAACCCGGGAACUGCCAUUGAUACUAUUUGUCUUGAAUACUCUGGAGGUGAGCGGAAUAUGUCAUGUAGCGGUGAAAUGCUUAGAUAUGACAUAGAACACCCAUUGCGAAGGCAGCUCACUACGGAAAUAUUGACGCUGAGGCACGAAAGCGUGGGGAUCAAACAGGAUUAGAUACCCGUGUAGUC